This 69-nucleotide transfer RNA is filed under the name Rattus norvegicus (Norway rat). It matches the Rfam family "tRNA". Rfam says of the family: Transfer RNA (tRNA) molecules are approximately 80 nucleotides in length. Their secondary structure includes four short double-helical elements and three loops (D, anti-codon, and T loops). Further hydrogen bonds mediate the characteristic L-shaped molecular structure. tRNAs have two regions of fundamental functional importance: the anti-codon, which is responsible for specific mRNA codon recognition, and the 3' end, to which the tRNAs corresponding amino acid is attached (by aminoacyl-tRNA synthetases). tRNAs cope with the degeneracy of the genetic code in two manners: having more than one tRNA (with a specific anti-codon) for a particular amino acid; and 'wobble' base-pairing, i.e. permitting non-standard base-pairing at the 3rd anti-codon position. Lineage: Eukaryota; Metazoa; Chordata; Mammalia; Rodentia; Muridae. The record is from Rfam by way of RNAcentral.
GGGGAUUUAGCUCAGCGGUAGAGCGCUUGCCUAGCAAGCGCAAGGCCCUGGGUUCAAUCCCCAGCUCCA